AGAGAUGUGUGAUGACGCAUAUCAAUAAGCGGAGGAAAAGAAACUAACAAGGAUUCCCUUAGUAACGGCGAGUGAAGCGGGAAGAGCUCAAAUUUGAAAUCUUCAAGGUUCUACCUUGACGAAUUGUAGUUUAUAGAAGUGUUUUCUGUUAGUAGGAGUGGCAAAAGUUCUUUGGAAUAGGACAUCAUAGAGGGUGAGAAUCCCGUAUUUGGUCAUUCCUUCUAGCGUUGUGAUACACUUUCAACGAGUCGGAUUGUUUGGGAAUGCAGUCCAAAAUGGGUGGUAAAUUUCAUCUAAAGCUAAAUAUUGGCGAGAGACCGAUAGCGAACAAGUACCGUGAGGGAAAGAUGAAAAGAACUCUGAAAAGAGAGUUAAACAUGUACGUGAAAUUGUCAAAAGGGAAGCGUUUGACACCAGUGUUGUUUUUCCGAAAAUCAAUUACGAAUGUUUUGUUUUUAAGAAGUUAUGACUUCAUCGGCUUGCUUCUCUCUUUACGAAACUUUCUUAAUGCACUUUUCGGUUAACAAGUCAACAUCAAUUUCUUUUGUUGUAAAAGGGUAUGAGGAAGGUGGCUUUCUUUUCGGAGAAAGUGUUUAUAGCCUUGUACCUCCGCAAUCGGAGAGAUUGAGGUCUGCAGCGUAGAUCCUUCGGGGUUAGAUACAUUUGUGCUAAGUUAUAGCUUUUCAUAGACAACUUGUUGACUAUGUUAAGUCUUGUAGCUUACUCGCUUAUGCUAUUUUACCUACGCUUAGGAUGUUGAAGAUGUAGCACAUCAU
Molecule: ribosomal RNA, 776 nt
Filed under: uncultured Neocallimastigales
Lineage: Eukaryota; Fungi; Neocallimastigomycota; Neocallimastigomycetes; Neocallimastigales
Description: partial large subunit ribosomal RNA
Rfam family: Eukaryotic large subunit ribosomal RNA
Source: RNAcentral